RNAcentral lists this ribosomal RNA (450 nucleotides) under uncultured Glomeromycotina. RNAcentral's name for it is "SSU rRNA". It matches the Rfam family "Eukaryotic small subunit ribosomal RNA", at positions 569 to 1023 of the family's 1831-position model. Lineage: Eukaryota; Fungi; Glomeromycota. The record is from RNAcentral.
AGCAGCCGCGGUAAUUCCAGCUCCAAUAGCGUAUAUUAAAGUUGUUGCAGUUAAAAAGCUCGUAGUUGAAUUUCGGGGUUAGUAGGUUGGUCAUGCCUCUGGUAUGUACUGGUCUCACUGAUUCCUCCUUCCUGAUGAACCUUAAUGCCAUUUAUUUGGUGUUUUGGGGAAUUUGGACUGUUACUUUGAAAAAAUUAGAGUGUUUAAAGCAAGCUAACGCUUGAAUACAUUAGCAUGGAAUAAUGAAAUAGGACGUUCGAUCCUAUUUUGUUGGUUUCUAGGAUUGACGUAAUGAUUAAUAGGGAUAGUUGGGGGCAUUAGUAUUCAAUUGUCAGAGGUGAAAUUCUUGGAUUUAUUGAAGACUAACUACUGCGAAAGCAUUUGCCAAGGAUGUUUUCAUUAAUCAAGAACGAAAGUUAGGGGAUCGAAGACGAUCAGAUACCGUCGUAG